RNAcentral lists this long non-coding RNA (4991 nucleotides) under Homo sapiens (human). RNAcentral's name for it is "non-protein coding lnc-LARP1B-1:21". The record is from RNAcentral. Lineage: Eukaryota; Metazoa; Chordata; Mammalia; Primates; Hominidae.
CUUCCUAGGCCUGCGUUCGCGUCCGCAAACUCCCGCCUCCUUGCGCUCCCCCCGCCCGGGAGCUUCACGUGCGCCUUGGCGGCCGCGGGGGCAGGUCCGGGCUGGACGCCUGGCGGAGGACGCGGGCAGGUGGCUUGUGGGAGGCUGGGGCAUAGUUGAGCUGCAAGGCGCAAACCGAUGAGGGGCGUCUGCUUUUCACCAGGGCGCCGUCGCUUUUGUCGGGAAACCGGCAGCGUAGGCGCGCAGACCGGGAAGCGGCAAGAAGAUUUGGCCACGAGCUGGGGUCUUCCUGGAACGGAGAGAAAGCACGGAACCCGCACCGGGCUUCUCUGGCAUCGGCAGUCUACGUGCUCCUCGCGCUGGCACCGAGCAGCCACUCCCCGCUGGGUUUGGCAAAGGCUGCUCUUGUAGAAUUUUAAAGGAUUUAGAGUCUCAUUAUUCCUUGAAUCAUAACUUCUGCGGCCGUAGGGAAGUGGACAGGUUGAGGUGGUCUUUCUAUUCGUCAUUCACUCUUAUUUGCAGGUUCUGUUUCAUGUACUUGGACGUCUUUUAGCCUCUCACACCUUGAAAUUCUAGUGUGAAAAAGUGACCUCUGAAGUCUCACGCACUCAACUCGUUUGACGAACUCGUUUGACGUGUUCUCUCUUGCCCUUUGUUGUCUGUUGUCUUGAGUCUCAUAGAAUAGGUUUGAACCUUUCACUGUCGGUUUUGUAGGAGUCACUGAGGAUAUUGACGAGGCAAGUGACAGGGUCGACACUCUUGUAGAGAGGCUGUAUAGCAACCAGGUGUCUGAAGGAUUAGAGGCUGGGGAAAGAGUGGGAAAGCAGUUAGUAGGCUAGGGUAUUUGUGCGUGAGGUGAGGAGACUCAGAGCUAGGGGAGACAUUAGAGCAGGGGUUGGCAAACAUUUUUUGUAAAGGGCCCGAUCAUAUUUUAAGUCUCUGCCUUAACUACUCAGCUCUACCUUGUAACGAGAAAGCAGCCAUAGACAAUACUUGAAUGAGUGUAGCUGUCUUCAGUAAAACUAUGGACAUUGAAUUUUUAAUAUAAUUUCAGGUAUGAAAUAUUCUUUUGAUUUUUAAGAAAAUCAUUGAAAUAUGUAAAUUUUUUUUUUUUUAGUUCUGGAGAGGUGCAAAAACAACUUAUAAGCCAUAUUGCUGAGCCCUGCAUUAGAGGUACCUGAGGGAGAGCGACACAAUUGGUAGUAAAUGACCAUAUACUCUAUCCUUCAAUAUGGAACACUUUUGGAAGUAAAGUAGGGCAUUAAUAAUUAUAGCCAGAGACCAGGAGUUAUAUCAGUUUUAUCCCAGGCAAACCUAAAGGAAUAGUCACCUUAAGGUUAAGGGUUAGGAGAAGUCAAAAUUGCUUUAGGACUUGGUAACAGAAAAUGGGAGGUGCCAGUGAUGGAAAUAGGAAGAUAAAGAAGAAACUGGUUUUGAGGAGAAGAUAGCUGUAGCAGUCCCAAGAGCUGUAUACAGUUGAGACAACAUUGAUAGGAAGGAAGAAAGCACCCCAGAAGCAGGCCACUCCUUAUAUCUUAUUGACCAGAACUGGGCUAUUAGCUGUCCCUAAAGCAGUAACAGACAAGGAGCAUGGGACAUCCAUGAUUGCCUAGUGUUUAUCUGGCUUUUUUAAUUCUUAUUCAGGACUGUGUUGAGCAUUGCUGGACAUUUACCAUCUCUGGUUCCUUCCAGCUAAAUGUCAGUACCACACCUCAGGCAUUGUGACACCGUAAAUCAACCGUUUUUCCCUCCCACCCCCCAGAGGUGUGGUACUGGUUGAGAACCAGUAGCUUAGACCCUCAGGAUUUACCUUGGGGCUGAAUUAGUGUGUGUAGGUUUCUUUUCCAGUUGGUUUGGAGGGAAGAGAGGAAUUGGACAGUAUUAAAGUUCUGCUGUCAAGGAAGUGGGCUGGGGAAUGUUGGGUAGCUAACCAACAUUGGCUGCCACGUGAAGUAAAAAAGUUUUCCUUUAUAUCCUUGAUAAAAUAGUGUCUCGACUUCUUCACACUUGAAGCCUUCCCAAAACCCCAGCUUUUUUGAUUCUCAUUGUAAGCCCCUUGAACUGGACUAGUUGGAAGUUCUUAUUUUCCACCCUAAGUAACAAGCUCUUGUCCCAAUAGGAUACUCUUGCUUUGAGUACUGCAAUAACUUUCCAAUUGGUGACUUGCCGUCAGUCUUUUCCUAUUUCAUUCCUACACGAAGAGACUAGAACUGUGUUCUGAUUUCCUUUGCUCAGACACCAAUCUCCAGGGGUGCUCUGUAAUUUGAAGAGGACAACUCAGAAAGCACUCAAGGGCCUCCAUAAGUCCCUGAGUGGCUUCCCUGCCUUCCCGUUCCCCAGCAAACAAUCCCUUGGAUACCCUCUAUUAAAUGAUACGUUUCCCCUUACAAUACCUAGUCCCUUGCCCCAUAUAUGCUAUGUGUAUUGCACAGUCUAGGACUUGACUCAUGCUGUUUCCUCACGGAGCAUGCCCUUCUUAUUUCUAACCAUACAAAUUCCAUGACCUAUCCAUUCUUUCAAUUCUACUUCCACCUGAGGCCUCUAUCAGCCCACAUUAACCUACCUUCUUUGAAUUUCUGUGUGUUCCUUACCUGUACCACCCAUUUUGGCCUUUUAUUUUAUGCUCUUCUUGACUAUUCUGUUAUUGAAACUGUCCUUUAGAUCCCAAGAUUUCUACUUUUUCCCUGCGGAUGCUUUUUUAUUUUUUUUAUUUUUGACUUCUUUCUACCCUCCUUUUCCUCUUACAUCCCUGCUUUGCCUAGAGGACAUCUACAAGAAUCGUCAUGUACAUUCUUUUCUCCUGUUGUUAGCUUUUUUCCCCUGACACUUCAUCUAUUUACUGAUUUACUUGUAAAUCUCUGGAAGAUAUUAGUACUAGCCACCAAAUAUUUCUAUUUCUUUUUCCACACACGUAGAUUUGGAUUUCCCUACUCCUUUUACCUCAAGAAUGGCCAAUGAAAUGUGAUUGGAAGUGACUUGUGUCAUUUCCAAAUAAAAGCUUUAAGAGCCUGUGGACAUUUAUCCUGCGCUGUUUCUUCCUGCCAACAGUGAUGAAAUAUUUUAAUUAUCUAUUGUCCCAUGACAAAGCACCUUAAAUCUUAAUGGUUUAAAACAGUCACCAUUUUAUUAUGUGUAACAGUUUUGUGGGUUGACUAGGCUCAUGGGCAGUUGUCUAAUCUUGCUCAGGGUCUCUCAUGUGGUUCCAGCCUGGUAUUGUUUGGGGCUGGAGUUUUUGGAGGCUCAACUAGGUUGCUAGAGUAGCUGAGCUUUUCUAUUUACCCAUGCCGUUCCAAAGACUCUCUGAUUCACAUGGCUUCUUCAGCAGAGUAGCCUGACUUCUUUCUUGCAUGGUGGCUUAGGAUUCUCAAAUGCAAUAAAAGCAAAAACUUCGAGGUUUUGUAAGUCUUAGGUCUGGAAAUGACAUGUUGUAUUGGUAAAAGCAGUUACAGGGCCAGCUCAAUUUUAAGGGGAGAGGAAAUAAACACUUGAUAGGGGUGGAGGGAGAGUGACAAAGAAUUUGUGGCCAUCUUUAUUACAAAAAUUUUUGUCAACCACAGAGUUACAGGAAAAUGUGGCCAUCUUUAAUCACUACUCCAACGAUGUUUCAAAUUGAGUGGGCUUCCAUCAGCCAGGGUCUCGGAGACAGGACAAAGUGGAAAACAGCUCCCAAAUAACAUACCUAGGUAUAUGAAUAAGAAAUACAUCUCUGCUGUCCUGAGUCACUUAGCUAUUUGGAGUUGUUUGGUAUCAACUUUUGCAUACUAAUAUAAAAAUUGGUACUGGAAAUAGGGUGGUGCUAUAACAAAAAUCUAAAAUAUGAGUCACUGACAUAUAUAAUAAUUGAGUUAGAAAUACUAGUGGUUGGUUGUUAGGCAGCAUCCAGCUUUGACUCACUUAUGCAUUUCCCAGUGAACCUAGCUCAGAAGUUUGCACCAUGAUAUUCAAUAAAUAAUUCUUAAAUAAGAGAGAUUGUUUCUUGUAAUUUUUCCCUAUUUUAGGGAAAAACUUUUUUUUUUUUUCCAUAUCACAUUUUUCUUGAAACAUUGGAGUGCCACGAACAUAUCAUUUGAUGCUCUGUUUGAGUGCCACCAGUGAGUUUCCCGAUGUUUAAGUUUGGCUCGUGGGCAGCCCACCUUCUUCCUCUCCACUUUCUCUUGGGAGCCAUCCUGCUCAUGGAAAGUGUGCUUUCUCCUCUGCUACCUCACACAAGUUUCAAAGGAGCUUGCUCCUGCCAGGGGAGGCUUGGGGUAAGCCAAACAGCAUCAGCUCCCCGGGGGAAGGGAAAUUUCAGGUUUGGAGCUAAGUUCACUUCCAGGGAGUGACAAAGCCUGUUUGAACUUUAAUUCACAGAGUAAAAGAGUUCAAUGUUGGCCAUUAAUGAUUUGGACUUUAACAUGAAGUUGGUACUGAUUACUUUGGGCCAUAAUUUAGAAGGACAGAGUGAUUUAAUCUCUGAACUUUUAAUUUCUCUCUGGAAAAUUAAUACUGGGAGAGGGUUAAAAUCAAAUUGAGAACAUCUUGUUGGUUCUUAGUUAUUAAAGUAUUUGAUCACAUUUUAGAAAUUCUGAUAACUUUGGGCAAGCUGACAGGACAUAGUUUGAGAUGGCGAUAGAACAUAUUGUGAAUUACAGCCUUGGAUACAGAAUAGCAUUGGAACUGAUUUAAUCGAUAAAUUGUUCUGACCCAUUCAGGGCAUUUUGGGGACAGACUCUACAGUUUACUAGUGGCCCCAGGACAUCCUGCAAAAGAGGUGAAAUCAGUAUUGGAGAAGUGGUCUCAUGAAGAUGGGAGCACGACUACUACAAUUGACUGCUGACUUCUCACCCAAGGAAGUAACUGUAUCCCAGCCUAAUCUCAGUGGAUAAGCCCACAGGGUUAAGGAGUAAUCAUCAUGCUCCAUUUCGUUUUUGAGCCAUCUUCAGCCUUUGAGUCCUUAAGCUUUUUGGAGACAGUUUGUGGAGAAGGUCCUCACAACAUUGUGCAACAAGUGU